This 252-nucleotide ribosomal RNA is filed under the name uncultured bacterium. RNAcentral describes it as "partial 16S ribosomal RNA". It matches the Rfam family "Bacterial small subunit ribosomal RNA", at positions 524 to 776 of the family's 1533-position model. The record is from RNAcentral.
UACGUAGGUCCCGAGCGUUGUCCGGAUUUAUUGGGCGUAAAGCGAGCGCAGGUGGUUUAUUAAGUCUGGUGUAAAAGGCAAUGGCUCAACCAUUGUAUGCAUUGGAAACUGGUAGACUUGAGUGCAGGAGAGGAGAGUGGAAUUCCAUGUGUAGCGGUGAAAUGCGUAGAUAUAUGGAGGAACACCGGUGGCGAAGGCGGCUCUCUGGCCUGUAACUGACACUGAGGCUCGAAAGCGUGGGGAGCAAACAGG